Molecule: ribosomal RNA, 517 nt
Filed under: uncultured bacterium
Lineage: Bacteria
Description: bacterial SSU rRNA
Rfam family: Bacterial small subunit ribosomal RNA
Source: RNAcentral
CUACGUGCCAGCAGCCGCGGUAAUACGUAGGUGGCGAGCGUUAUCCGGAAUUAUUGGGCGUAAAGGGUGCGUAGGCGGCCUGUUAAGUAAGUGGUUAAAUUGUUGGGCUCAACCCAAUCCAGCCACUUAAACUGGCAGGCUAGAGUAUUGGAGAGGCAAGUGGAAUUCCAUGUGUAGCGGUAAAAUGCGUAGAUAUAUGGAGGAACACCAGUGGCGAAGGCGGCUUGCUAGCCAAAGACUGACGCUCAUGCACGAAAGCGUGGGGACCAAACAGGAUUAGAUACCCUGGUAGUCCACGCCGUAAACGAUGAGUGCUAGGUGUUAGACCCUUUCCGGGGUUUAGUGCCGUAGCUAACGCAUUAAGCACUCCGCCUGGGGAGUACGACCGCAAGGUUGAAACUCAAAGGAAUUGACGGGGGCCCGCACAAGCGGUGGAGCAUGUGGUUUAAUUCGAAGCAACGCGAAGAACCUUACCAGGUCUUGACAUCCCUCUGACCGCUCUAGAGAUAGAGCUUUC